RNAcentral lists this long non-coding RNA (6197 nucleotides) under Zea mays. RNAcentral describes it as "long non-coding RNA (ZMAY_LNC000427)". The record is from RNAcentral. Lineage: Eukaryota; Viridiplantae; Streptophyta; Magnoliopsida; Poales; Poaceae.
UUACAGAUGUUUUCUCCUUUGGUAUGUUUGUCCUUGAGGUCACCUGUGGACAGAGGCCUGUCAGACACGAAAAUGUGCAAGAUAGCCAACUCAUGCUGGUUGAUUGGGUGCUCGACAAGGUGCGAGAAGGAUCAUUCGGUGCUACCAUGGAUGCUAGGCUUGAAGGGAAGUAUGAUAUCGGUGAGGCAUACUUGGCGUUGAAAAUAGGGCUGUUGUGUUCACACCCAUUCGCCAGUGAAAGGCCUACCAUGCGGCAAGUCAUACAAUACUUGGAUGGGGAGAUUGAGGCUCCAGAUUUAAGCUUCGAGGUGCUAGCCUCUAUGCAAAGUGAAGGGAUCGAUCCAUACCUCAUUUCAUAUCCCUUGUCAACAGAAUGCUUCAGCACAACGUCAAACGUCGUCUCUGGAGGAAGAUGAAAAUGUGUUGUCAUGAAUGGAUACAAAUAUGUUUAUUGCAUACCCUAAGUAACUUAUUUGCAGGUUCUUUUUAGGAGAACACACUGACUAAGGUUUUGGAGUCAACUUCAAAGUAAAGAUGAAAACAAGGAUCUAAUAAUAAAAGGCUGCAGAAGGAUGGAGUCAGUUGGGAUGCACAUCUUCGCGCACUAUGGCUGGAGAUUCAUAAACAGAUUGUCAUUAUAAUUUUGUUUUUCUGUGUUUUCGUGAGUGCCUAUACUAUGUGUCGGAGGUUUGUCCAUCCUUGGUGUUGUAGUCCCUGUGACUACUGUUUUUGUAAGCGUUGGCCCUAGCCUCUCGUUUUGACUUUUGAGGUUAAAGCCGGACAUUUCCAUUAUCUAAAAAAAGAAAUUAAAUGUGCAUUGUAUAUAUAGAGGAAGCCUACAUAACUCGAGGAUAUUGUUAUUAAUUUGCCUGUAAAAUAGUGUGCUUCUUUUUCUGUUUGCAUCCAGAUAUCUUGUGUUUUUUGUUCAAUUACUUCGUGCAGCACCCUUGUUUUGCAUUAGAACCUCCAAUCAAAUAAUUGACGGUACUCACUGAUGUCAAAAUUCACUAGCUUUCACUGUAAGAUAACUACUAUUCAUAAGUAGUCAGUUAUAUAUGUUUGUUUUUUUACAACUAUUCAUAUGUGCAUCCAUGAGAAUCAUAAGGCCAGAUGGAUGAAAAAAAUCGACAAGACAACUAAGCUACAUAAUAACAUGUUCAGUCAUAUAAAAGAUUUUUUUUUGCUUAACACAAUUAUAUAAAAAAAUGUAUAUGUUACAUCCAUCUACCUGAAUCCUCCCAUGCCAGGUUCCCUUGAUCCUAGCUAAGUAUUGGUAAUCUCUAUGAAUUGUACUAGUAUGACCAGAAACAUAUUGCCAAGUGUGCACUGAAUGUACAUAAGAUAUUUUCGGUAAGUAGGAAUCUGGAACUGGCAUUUUGAAGUCUGUAAGUCUCAAAUGCAAAGUUCCCUUGGUCCUAGACAAUCUCUACAUCUCAAUCAGACAAAUAAUAAUGUGUCUGGAGUCUGGACAAAUUGUACUCCUAUAGAUACAACCAUGAGGGUACUCAGAAGUCCAUGCUGAAUCCAUAUAAGAUUUUUUCAGGAAGUAAGGAUUUGGACCUGGCAUUCUGAAGUAGUGAAGCCUGAAUAACCAGAUGCCAAGUAGCUUUGAAACAAGGUAAUCUCCACAAUUCACACACAGACAAAGAAUGAACGAAUUGUUUUGUACUUUUAUGACCACACAUAUGUUUGCAUCAAAGCAGCACACAUCGCAUCAAGCUUCGUUUUCAGUUAUUUCCCUUCUUUAAAUGCACUUGUUUACUUCUAGUUCCUUCCAUUUUACAUGGAAAAAAUAAAUAUUUCGAUGUUCACAGGGAUCCAUAUCCCUGUUAGCAACUUUAUGUUUUCCUUAGUCUAUACUCUAUAGUAGUAUAGUUAUAGGAAGCUAGGUUCUGGCUCUUGCUUAAGCUUAGUAUUUAAAAAAUUUAGAUCACAUUGCAUAUAUAAGAAAUUAUAUGCACGUAGGAUUAGAUCCUAUUUCUACAGAACAAAAUUUUAUGUAUAAUCGCAGCUUCAGGCCUUUAAUCAGAAGCCUGAGAUAUGAGUUAACAAGUAUUCCCUCCAACCUAGGUAAUCACUUCAAGUGGCCGUCAGAUAGGUAUACAUCAAAGCUUUAUUACACAUUUAACAAGCUUUGUUUUCAGCCUCCAUCUUUAAAUGCAAUGUUGUAAGCUAUUCUUGUCCACAACCUGUUAAAGGACUACAAAAAGUUGAUUGGAAUCCUCUACCCUUGUUGCAAUGGAACAGCGAUCUUUACUAGCCCGUGUCUCACGGGACACAUUUGUUUCUUUUGUUAAGCUCUAACCAGUCCACAUUCUGGAUGAAAGCAGAAAUGUAUGCUAACAAUGCUUGACUCAAAAAUUUAGCCUUCUUGUGCAAACAAUGGAAGCUUUCUUUCUGGAUCUUAGUUUGGGUUCAUAGUUUAUGUACAAGCAUUAAAGCUUCCCUUAUAGAAAAAAAGUUUUAUAUACAAGCAUGAAAGAUGCUACUUGUACAAUACGGAGCCUCCUAUUCAUGACAAAAAGUUGAUAUGAUGAUAUGAUGGUUCAGCUGAAUGAUUUUUAGCUGACAUUGUCUUACUACAUUUCAUGUUCAGUUAUUCUGGAAUCCUAAAUACUCCCUUCAUUCCAAAUUGUAAGAUGUUUUGUCUUUUCUAGUUACAUAGCUUUUGCUAUACACUUGGAUAUGCAUUGUAUCUAAAAGAACGUCUUACAAUUUAGAACAGAUGGAGUACUUGUUAGGCUGUUACUUAAAAUCAAUUCUAAGAUGUGGUAGCAAAUAAACCUAACAGUAUAAGUGUCUAUAUCACCUAUUAAAAUUUAGACAAUAACAGAUGUUGAAAAUCCAGAAACUAGACUUGGUAUGAAGCAGCAAGUUAAAAUCUAAUAUAAACUGAACCACUGAGUGCAAGCGGAAACCAGAUAGCAUUGGUUGCCCACAUAACACUUACUGCUUGCUAUCCUUGUUGAUUUGCAGCUUGCAAGACACACACAUGCUUGUAAUGGCAAUGAAGCAUACGUCCUUCCUUCCGUACCUGCUCCUCCUCACAACCUUGGCAUCCUGCGAUGAUCAAUUUCUGUUAUCUGGCUUCACCCAAUCCAGCUUAAACCUUGAUGGUUCUGCCAUCGUCACAAAUGAUGGCCUCCUUGAUCUGACCAAUAGCACUGCAAUUACCAACGGUCACGCAUUCUACCCCAGCCCUUUGCACUUCCGCAAAUCACCUGAUGGUAAAGUUGAAUCCUUCUCAGUCAAUGUUGUUUUCAGCAUCUUCAUCACAUACCCAGACUUGAGUGCUGACGGCAUGGCCUUCUUCAUCGCACCUACCAAGAAUUUCUCUGAUGCACGGGCAGGCAAGUACUUUGGCUUGCUCAACGAAAACAACAAUGGAAACACAAGAAACCACAUCUUCAUGGUCGAGCUUGAUACCUACAAAAAUGCUGAGGUACAAGAUAUCAACGACAACCACGUUGGAAUCAACAUCAACGGUGUAUUCUCCUUCAAAUCCAAUACAUCUGGCUUCUAUGAAGAUAGUGGUGCCUUCCGGGAGCUGACACUGAAUGGAAACAAGGGAACACAACUGUGGAUCGACUAUGACAAGAGUACUAUGCAGAUCAAUGUGACCCUGGCUCCGAUCAACGUGCACAAACCAUCCAGGCCACUGCUGUCUACAACCUAUGAUCUCUCAACUGUAAUCUCCACCUCAACUUCAUACAUUGGAUUCGCAUCCGGAGCUUCUCCCGUGAACUCCCGUCAUUAUGUGAUGGGCUGGAGCUUUGGCAUGAAUAAACCAGCCCCACCCCUUGACGUCUCCAAGCUUCCCAAGUUGCCUUUCCAUGGCCCCAAGGCCCAGUCCAAGCUCUUGGCAAUUGUCCUGCCGAUAGCCACUGCAACGUUGAUCCUCUCCAUAGGCACUAUUGUCACUCUGGUUGUCCGAAGGCGGCUGAAGUAUGCUGAGGUGCGUGAGGAUUGGGAGGGUGAGUUUGGUCCACAUCGGUUUUCAUACAAGGAUUUGUACCAUGCUACAGGGGGGUUUAAGAAUAAGCACCUGCUUGGAGAAGGAGGGUUUGGGAAAGUAUACAAAGGAGUCCUUCCAUUAUCUAAUGUAGAGGUUGCUGUGAAGAGGAUGUCUCAUGAGUCAAGACAAGGAAUGAAAGAGUUUGUCACUGAGGUUGUUAGCAUCGGUCGACUCCGCCAUCGCAACCUUGUCCAGCUACUUGGCUACUGCAGGAGAAAAGGUGAGCUGUUUUUGGUUUAUAACUACAUGCCCAAUGGUAGCCUUGAUAAAUAUCUAUACUGUGAAGAGCACGGUGCUAUUUUGAACUGGGAACAGAGGUUUCGAGUCAUCAGAAACAUCGCUACCGUCUUGCUGUAUCUCCAUGAGAAGUGGGAGAAGAUAGUGAUCCACAGAGACAUCAAGGCAAGCAACGUACUCCUAGAUGGUGAAAUGAACGGCCGCCUCGGCGACUUCGGCCUUGCAAGGUUGUAUGAUCACGGCACUGACCCACAAACAACACAUAUGGUUGGAACAAAGGGAUACCUAGCACCCGAGCUUCUGCGCACAGGGAAGGCGUCCCCUCAUACAGAUGUCUUUGCCUUCGGCAUGUUCCUUCUUGAGGUUGCGUGUGGGCAAAGACCUGUCAAGAAAAAUGCAGAGGGGACUGAAUUUUUCUUGGUCGAUUGGGUGCUCGAGCACUGGAAUAAUGGUGUUAUUACAAAGACACUGGAUUCAAGGCUUCAGGGUGACUACAACAUUGAUGAGGCCCAUCUUGUGUUGAAGCUAGGACUCUUGUGCUCGCACCCACUUCCUAGUUCAAGGCCUAGGAUGCGACAAGUUAUGCAAUACCUCGAUGGCGAUACGCCACUACCCGAGCUAAGGCCAACGCAACUGAGCUCGAACAUGGUUGCCUUGAUGAAAAACAGUGGACUCAACUCAUCUGUCGUGUCAUAUCCGCAAAUAUCGACGAGCUUCUGCACAAUAUCUAGCCUCUCGGGAGGAAGAUGAUAUCUGCCAUUUUUCCGUACUUCAUUACUUAGCUGUUUAGUAUGUGACGCGUUUAAUUUUAUUGUAUAAGUCUUUGUAUUUUUAGGUGCCCACGGGUUGUAUGUUUGUCUGUUUAGUGCGGGGAUUUAUGUCUGUUUGUCUUUUGAAUUCUUUAGGUGUUGGCAGUAGUUUCUUUUUAACGGAACAUUUUUCUUCGUUGUUUUCGUCACAAGGACUUGUCCACAAGCAGCAACAUGUUCAAUACCCUAACACGAUAGUGAAUUUAGUGAUGCUAAAACACGACAUAACUGAAUAAAUAAAUCCGCAUAAAAAGAAUGCAUAACGAGAUUUCUUCAUCUAACAGAAGUUCACCAGAAGACUCGCACGGAUCUGACGCCGAGAAUGAAAUCUAACAGAUAUAAAAAGAAAUCCACAAGGGAGAAUGGUUUCUCCUUGUGUGUGUGUGUGUUUGUGUCAGUUUUGUCAGAAUUUGUGGCAAAUUGCUCUUCAAAUCGUGCCGCAGAGAGCACUGACAUACACGCACAGUUUCAUAUAGUAUUUGUUUUGGGGCGAAAAUGAAGCGAUGUAUGGUUCGGUAAUAUAUUCAUCUAGAUAAGCUCCGAACAAGCACUAAUCGCAAUUUGCGGACAAGCUUCAGAAAUCACGAUUACCUCGUACUACUGUAGUGCCGUCUCCGUGGCAGCCCGGCGGAUACCUACGCCGAGCACAGGAUAAGGCGCAGCCCCCUGCCCCUUGCCCCCCGCCCGCUGCAAUCUGGCCUUCGGCGGAGGAAUCAGGAGGCCGUAGCCGAGGAGACGAUGUCACGACCCUGGUAUUCCUGCUACUGCUACUUAUGCUGUUAAUGUUUAGUCUUUGAUUAAGUCAGUCGGAGAAGAAGAGGAUUAGAGAGGGAUUACUGUUGACCAUCAGGGUUCUAAGUCUUGUAAUAGAUCCAGACCAUUAGGCUCAUAUUAGAGUCUAUAAAUAUUUAUAAUCACAUCUGGAAGAGACUAUGAAAUGGAAUAAAGAACAAACUCCACCAAAACUUGUAUUUAUCUAAGCGCACCUAGGGAAGUCUUCUUCUCCAGCGACGACGAAUUCUCACGCCGUGGUUGCUCGUCGUCGGCCACGGGACGUCGAUCCAUAGGUAUCAAAGUUCUCUUUCUUCGGUGUGGGUUGGUGAUCACAAGGAAGUUAGGUUGGUAUUAGGUAAAAG